GGGCGGAUGGCGGAACUGGCAGACGCGCGAGAUUUAGGAUCUCGUGGAGAAUAUCCGUGGAGGUUCAAGUCCUCUUCCGCCCA
This 83-nucleotide transfer RNA is filed under the name bacterium. Its description in RNAcentral is "tRNA-Leu". It matches the Rfam family "tRNA". Rfam says of the family: Transfer RNA (tRNA) molecules are approximately 80 nucleotides in length. Their secondary structure includes four short double-helical elements and three loops (D, anti-codon, and T loops). RNAcentral also lists the same sequence under 2 other names. The record is from RNAcentral.